Tetranychus urticae (two-spotted spider mite) is the source of this 5254-nucleotide non-coding RNA. The record is from RefSeq and is a predicted model, not a curated record. Lineage: Eukaryota; Metazoa; Arthropoda; Arachnida; Trombidiformes; Tetranychidae.
CGUGUGACCAGACACCUUCACUUUGGUGUUUUUUUAUCUUUUUGUUACUUGGUUAUGUGCGUGCUUUUUAAGCCAGUUGUGGAAAUGAUUCCGGUUUUUUGUUUUUAGUGUAAAGGCUUUGAUGUUAUCUUUAUUCGUGAUGAAGGCCUGGACCAAAAACGCAGCUAUCGAGGAAUCACCGUAGAUCUGAUAUGUUUGCCUUGCUGCCAAAAAUCUUUUCUAAUUGAGAUUCGUAGUCGUUGAAAUUUCUCUUCAUUAUAUCCAUACAGGGUCCCAAAAGUCGUUCAAAUGCUCCAACAUCGAGAACUGAUAGAGUUAAAUAUCACAAAAAAUGUGUAAAAGAAAAGAUUCAAAGUCUAAUGGACUCGAAGCUUUACAAUCAAGGAUAAAACACCAUAUGUUCGGUUCUCAUGCAAAAAGCUCUUAAAAUGGUGAAAGUUAAUGUUGACAAUGUCAAUGCUUAAUUUGCUAUUAUAAAAGCUGAUAAACCCACUAGUCAGAAAAGGUCGAAAAUUGCUUUCCAAAUAAUUUUGACAUUUUCAAUGGUUCCUCGUUACACAAUGGAUGGAUUAAAAGGGGUAACAAGAAUGGAUACUUACAAGCAACUUUAACGUCAUCAACGGCUCGAACGGAUGCCGCUCUAGGUUUCAGAAAAUAGAUAAAAAUGAUUUAAAAAGGAUACUUGGCUUGGAAUGAGGAAUUUCAAAGAAAAACUAAAGAAUUUCAAGGAUAAUUUUCUUGUCACUUUACCUCAUCAAUUUUUGUAAUCACCACCGUUCCAUUUUCAACAAAAUACAUUCCAUCAGCCUGAUCUCCCUGUAAAAAAAAAGAUGAGUCAGUCAUUUUGAAUGAUUCAACAAUUGUCAUUUUUUCAAGUUGCCUUUUUUCUGAGGUCUAAUUGUUCAUAGAAAGCCUCAUGUAUCAAAUAGUGUGACUUACCAUUGCCCAAAGUGAUCCUUCGGUUUUGGCCUCAACGGAUGCUGACCUUGGCAUAUUAUACAUAAGUGCAAGCUCACCAAAGCUUCCUGAAUCUGUGUAUUCACCAAGUUCAAUGCGUUUCCCAUCAUUUGUACAGUAAAAUCUGAAAGUUCCUCUGAGAAAUGCAAAUGUAAAAAAAGGUGACAACAGUUAAGAACAGUUUAGCAUACAAAUUAUUUAUAGUUUACAAUGUAUACCCAGUAUAAUCAAAUGUUUCACCAAAAAAGCAUUAAUCAAGUAAACCUUGAAGAUUUUAUCAAGACUCGUUAAGCCUGGAUUUUGCCUGACUAGAUUGAUCUAAAAAUUUAACAAAUUUGAGUCUUUAAAUAGCAUAUCCAUCAGCUUAGAUGCGCAUUAAACAGAUUGCGUGAUAAUGUACAAGUGAAAAAUUCAAAAGCAACCUCAGCCAUCACCAGAAAGGGAAAAAAGUAAACCUAGUAAGUGGAAAUUAGACUGAAAUUAAGGAAGCAUUUUGCACGCUUUCAGAUUUUACUCUAAUACCUUUUAUAAAUAGAUACAUGUAUUAUGUGAGAUGUGAAAAGGACAAGAAUCAAUUGUUUUUUCGCUGUUAGAUAAUGAUGGACAGUAAAAAUGGCUGUAAAAAAUGUUUGAUAAUGCAAUUGUAGCCAGAACAGGAUAAAAGGUUAUUUUAUCAAGUCAAUGGGAAUCCAUUUUACUCAUCUUUACCUUCAACUCAAUAUAUAAAUUGAUUUAAAGAUUGUUCAAAGGCUCCAUAAUCAAAGGGAAUAAACAUUAUCUGACAAGACCAGUGAACAAAAUGAGAGCAAUUUUCGAUGGAAUGUUUACCCUCAUUGGACUCUUACGAGUAAAAAGGAUUCAGAUUGGAACCAAGUUGGCAAUGUAAAUGAAAAACGUCGAUGAAAUAGGAAGAGUGGAAGAAUAAAAAUGAUGAUGAUCAUUAUUAUCAUCAGCUCCAUGUAGCUCAUUUAGACUUUUUCAAAUUGACUCUCCAAGGUAUUAUAAAUUAAUCAAGCUUAAAGUGUAGCUGUGUGUCAAACGAGUGAUAAAAAAAAUCUUGUCUAUUUCAAUUAUGAUCAACAAUUGAAAGAGAAAUAAUAUUGAAUACUUAAUAAGCAAAUUAUUUCUUUAUGUGUAGGUUUUUCAUCAGAGAAAAAGUUUUUUUUCCUUCUCUCUAUCGACUGUUAGUCAGCUUUUCAAUUAAUUGAGCUUUCUUUACCUGUAAAUAUCUUAAAGUAAAAUCUCUAUCAGACUGACUGAGAAAAGAAUCAAAGAAAUGGGAAAUUUGAAAACGAAGAAAAAAGAGUUUUUCUUUUCGUAAAAGCGCAACACCAAGGAGAUGAUUAUUGAAGAUUCAAGAAUAAUCCUCUUAAGGAAAAGUAUGAAGGAUGAAAAAUGAACAAUAAGUUUAAAGUUGGAAGGACAAUACUAUUGGAAACAAUAUACCAUAACAUGAUUAUGUUGUAUCAAUAAUUACAUUGAAAAUGUAUCAAAAGCAUUCACAAAUCAUCACCAUAUUACUGCAAGAAUUGAUGCCAUGGUAAAUGAAGUCAGAAUUGUGAACCAAUUGUUCCAACGGAUUUAUAUGCAGGAUUAACCAUUCUCAUCACAUUUGAUCUUUUCAGAUCCAGUUUUGGAUUCUGGUGGCUUCGGAUACUUUACCAAGACUGAGUUUGAAGAUAUAAUUUGAUUGAACAAUGUUUAGCUGGAUUACAUUCAAGUAUACUUGUAAUACAAAAUUGUUAUCUUCUACCCAACAACAACAGGAGAGGAAGAACCCAAAAGACAACAACAUUGUGUUCUGGCUGUUGAAAUGAUUACUUCAAUUGGUUAUCCUGGUGUAAUAUCCAUGGAUACACACUUGGAAUUUUACAUUACAAUGGAAACGAGGAAGAGUAAAAAAAGCCAUGAGAUGAAUGAUAUGCUGAAAGUUUCAAAUUGAGUAAAAAAAAGCUUCAAAUCAUUCUGAAUGGAAUUAACAACUCACUUCUUUCAAAGCCACAACUCCAUCAAAGGACAAUCCCAAAGGACAAUCAACAUGUAAAGGAUAAUUUUAUAAGAACUGAAUCAAGUAACAAAACUAAUUGACCAGAAUAACUCACGGCUCAAAAAUAUACAUUGGAAUCUUCCCUCUUAAAGCAUGGCAAAACUGAUCUAAGAUAAUCUUUAUCUCAAUCUCAACAGCAAUUGCAGGAUUAUCAUGGUUCUUGAAUUUGUUGGAUUCCAAGCCUCUUUCAAGCUACAAUUAGAAACUUAGUCUUGAGUUUUCAUUUUGAUUCAACUGCCAGUGAAAGUUUCAUAAUCCCUUCUCCUCUAAUUAUAUCAUUACUUGUCCUCCCUGUUGACCUACAAAUUAAUCAAAUGGCAAUCCACCCAAGCGAAAGGUUGUAGGGUUAUUGGACAAAGUGUAUCAACCUAACCAGACUCAGGAAAGAAGCAAAAAUUAGUUUGAUUUCCCUUAAGAGUCCUUUCUACUUUUAUUCCAAGACUGAAACCAAGACAAUAUCCUUAUUCAGUAUUAAAGCCGUAUGAUUUCACCGUCAGACUCACAAUUCAUGGAAGGUACCAAGAAAAAUGUAACAAAUCUAUUUGGUGGAUCCUCUCUUUUUUAUACCAGUUUACUUUUUGUCUUCUUUGAAACUCUUCCAACCAUUGAAAUCCAACAUGGAAGCUUAUUUCCUUUUCCCAUGUAAUAUUUUCUUCUCCUUCUUCUCGGUGUGUCCAACAAAAGGAGUUGAAUGAAAAGAUAUUGGAAACCAGGAGAAACCACAUGAACAUAAAACUAAGAAGCUAACCUAAUUUAGACUCAGGAGACUUUUACAGGUCUCCAAUUUAUCUUACAAUUUAUCUUUCUUUUGUGCCUUUACUCCACCAUGGAAAGAUGUUACACUGUUUCUGUGGAAUCGAAACUCUGUUUAAGUCUUCAAAUGUCAACCUUCCUUCCUCUAAUUAACUGUCAACUGACAUAAUUCUUAAACUUAAUUGUACUGGAUAAAUGAAUGGAUGGAUUGAACUAUCAAAUAAUCCAAACCAACCUACCAAUAAGAGACAAUUUAUAAACACCAUUUUCUGCUCAUCUAAUUAAUUACAAUUAUAAAAUUAUGUAUCAAUAUCAAAUAACCAAACCUGAAGGAUGAACACAAAGAUUAACAACAAAGAGGAAGACACAAUUCAACUAACGAAGAACAUCAAGAAAUGCUGGAUAAUCAAUUCAAUAACCUUUCCAUCUCCAAAGAUCUUUUCAUCUUCUAAUCAAACCAGUGACAAUCAAAAGCAUUCCCAUUAAUCUUCAAGCCAAUUGGAUUCUCAAUCAACCUAUGAAGAGAUCAACAUACAAAUGUAACCUGAUAAGUCAUUCAACACGAGCUAAAGACAGCUUCAAAGGGUUGAUUUAAAUUACAAUUCAAGGAAAAGAAAGAUUUCUUAAAAUGUAAAAUCUAUUAGAGGAUGGAUUCAGUGUUGAUUAGAUUUAUCAAUUUACAAUAAUAUAAAAAUACGAUUGGAUUCAUCUGGAAAAGAGCACUUAGCGAAAGGCAUUUGAUUGUUUCUUCAUUCAACUUCAAGCAAAGCCCAGCCAAACUUAAUUUGCUGGAAAUUUCAUUCUUCCCAUGAAUCUAUUUUUUUAACUCAGUGAAUCCCAAGAAUUGGAUCAAGAAAAUUUAUUCUAGUGAAACAUUGAUGUAUUGAUAAUGAUAUAUUUAUGGCUGUGAAAAAUUGAUCAAUCGUUUCUAUUCACUUUCAACUUUUCUUCAUUCUCUAUUCGAUUUAUUAUUUUCUUAUGUUUGAUAUUUUUCAUUUCUUUUUUUUCUCUUCUUUUUUCUCUUCUAGAAAUACUUUCGGAACCUUGAUUAUAUUUCCUUGGGCAAUGAGUUAAACUUUUCAUGAAUAAUCAUAUCAGAUUCAGCAUUUUGGCAACAAAACAAAAACUAAUAUCAAUAAUGGCAGCUACUCUGUCAACUUUUCAACUCACCUAUUCUUUCACACCAAAUAUUACUCUGUCUCUCCUUUCACCAUUUUCAACCUCAUGUUCAUUCAAAUUACCCAAAGUAUGUUUCCAGCUUCACAGAAAUCACCUUUUUUUCAGUGUUCACCUCCAGGCUAACACUAGAGUUUGUUGUUUCUCACAUUUCAUUUAAAUUCAUGUAAAUAUUCACAUUGGAUUGUCACUUUGUUACUAAAUAUCAUGGGCAUCAUUAGCCUGAAACUAAUGAUUUUACACUUUUCCACCUUUUCUCCCUGUAACAUGUAUACAUGAAGAUAUUAAACAGAGUCAAAUUUUAUUCCCUCUUAGUGAAAA